This 83-nucleotide small RNA is filed under the name Marmota monax (woodchuck). Lineage: Eukaryota; Metazoa; Chordata; Mammalia; Rodentia; Sciuridae. The record is from RNAcentral.
ACCAGGUGUGGUGGCACACGCCUGUAAUCCCAGCAGCUUGGGAGGUUGAGGCAGGAGGAUCGAGAAUUCAAAGCCAGCCUCUG